Molecule: long non-coding RNA, 37748 nt
Filed under: Triticum aestivum (bread wheat)
Lineage: Eukaryota; Viridiplantae; Streptophyta; Magnoliopsida; Poales; Poaceae
Description: long non-coding RNA (TAES_LNC023557)
Rfam family: MIR1120/MIR1122 microRNA precursor family (bases 17833-17919)
Source: RNAcentral
UCAAGGUCAAGGUGGGGACCCAUCUUUGGUGCAAUUUGCUCUUCCCCUUCUCACUGCUCUUCCCCUUCUCACAGAUGGCCAUGAGCUUGGUUUCUUCCUCAUGCAGGCAGUCUGGGUAGGCUCCCCGUCGGUGUCGGCUUCCCCUGCCUGCCACUCCUCUCCUCUGAUGGAGUUGACCUUUGCUGGAGCGGACAAGUUUGGAUGCCCGUGCGCCUUUGGUGGUGGGAUAGGUAACCCCCCCUCAUCCCCAUGCUCUCUCUCUUUCUGUAAUGUAUCCAUGGCCAUCUGUACGCAUUUCAAGCAGGGGGCAAGCAGCUAGCAAAAUACUGAAUACAAAGCUCCUUGUUGUGUUUUACGAAAGGAAUUGGGUGUACUUGAAUUGUGAAGGAAGAAAGGGCCAUUGGACUGUAUGGGAAGAAUGGGAUGAUGUCAUUUGCUUCUCGACCACGUUGCCCCUGGUAAGCUCAUUACUCUCCCUCCUCAUUAGAUUUGUAUAUGUUUGCUGCUAAAACAACAACCACCACCAAUUAGCCUAGCAGGCCUCUAUUCAGGUAGUUAAUUGCUGCACUCAAUUAUCCUACUAAGUACUAACCAAUGUCAGUUUUUUCUCUUACGUUGAGUGGGAUUAUUUUAGUUUAUUAAUAUUUUUAGCAGGAUGUUUGUUGUGAGCUGUUACUGUAUUCAUCUGUUGGAUGUCCUACUGCACAUCUAGGCUUAUUAUUGUUCUAUAUUGCUUUUGCUCUGUGUAGGGAUGCGGUCAGGGUUUGCUGCUGGAUUGAGUGCUUUCCGUUGAUGGUUUCCGUCUGCUCAUGUUCUUGACUGUCGAACUGGUGGGAUAUGUCGUUGUUGUUGCUCAUGGUUGUCUCGACAGUUUUGCUUUUGGUCGACGGUGCCAUCGCAGGUGCUUUUCUUUUCUCAUUCCUUUGUUUAUGCCUUCGAAUGUACAUGUUCUAAUUUAGAAUUCAUCUUUUAGGUAUGGAUUGUGGCUUACUAAGUCUAAUGUUUGGUUUGGGUUUUCCUUUUUUUAUCUGGAGUUGGUCAGUUCAUAUGAAGCAAAAUAAAGGCAUGCAGUACCUUACAACGACACUCUGAUUAAUCAGGCAACAUAAGCUAUUACAUACUGUUGUGUAACGUAUGACAUGCCAGAUUCACUCAUCAGCAUAUAUCUGUCUUUCUCUUCCUUAUGCAGUAAACCUUCUGGUUACAUUUUGAAAUCAUCACCUCAUGUUUUGCCGUGCAAUAUUGUCUCUGUUUGAUCAAAGUGCAUGAAUCUCUAUACACACCAUAAGGCAUCUUAGAAUUGAAAAUGUUGUGCAUGACUGCACAUUUUUGCAGAAAUAUUCCUGAAAUUGAUACUAGCUCCAUCUAUUUGUUGUUUCCAUGUAAUUGCAACGUGCUCUUUUUUUGAGCUUCGCUAUUCUGAGAUUUAACAUUGGUUGUGUUUUUCUGCGGCUUAGCAGAAGCGUCGUUUGGGGGUCGAGCCACUAAUGCAGAAGAUUCAUAGCGGGAUUCACCAAGUGGACGCUGGCAUCCUCCCGCCGUCCGGCACCAGGUUUGGUCUCGUGAUCCCAUGUUCCAUUAGCUUUGCAAUAUCUAUGAUCUUUACAGUAAGACUGGUUAAUAUGGCCAAACUGACACUACAAAAAAAAUACACUUCCGUGAUGAUACGUGUUUGUCACAGUAGGUCGCGUUUUUUAUCAUGCAUAUACAUCCAUGACAAAUUUAUGACAGAAUCAAGAUAGUCAUACCUGUGCUGUCGUAGAAGUGUUCCAUGACAUUACCAAAAUUAUCAUCACGGAAAUGUCCACCUCCAUGACGAUAAAUCGCGCGUCACAUAAGUGCUUUCGUUAAGGGUGACCGACACGUGGCCUCCACCAUAACGGAACGCCGUUAAGCUAUCGGGUCGGGUUUUGGAUCCGAUAACCCGUUAACAGCCCCGACCAAUGGGGAUUUUCCACGUGUAAAAUCAUCAUUGGCUGGAGGAAACACGUGUCGGCUCAUCGCUGGGACAGAUGUCAUCCACUCAUUGGACAGAAGGCGCCUAUGAUACGUCGACACGUGGCACGGCCCAACAGAGACCCAUUCCUGUGAAAAGGCCGGCCCGUUUGACUUGGUCAAAAGGUGGCGGGCCGGCCCAUGGAAAGCCUGUUAACGGCCUGUUCGCAUAUAGCCGAUUUACAGCCCGCUAACCCAAGGCCCGUUACGCCCUAUUCGAAUUAGGCCCAGUAGCGUCAUCUGGGACAUCCAAUAUGAUUCCAGCCCGUUUUCACUUCUGGCCCAUGUAUGGCCAUGACGUCUUUCGGCCCAUAUGAGGCCCUAUGUAACUCUUGGCCUAUUAACGGCCCGUGGUGAAACUGGCCCGUAAUGAACAGUGUAUCACUUUACACCCAUUAACGGCCCGUAGUGAAACUGGCCCGUAAAGACCGGUGUAUCACUUUAUACCCAUUAACGGCCCGUUAUUCCGUUGGGCCGUUUCCAGCCCAUGUUAUCUUUCGGCCUUCUCAGAGCCCAUUUAUUCUUGGGCUAUUUUCUAGCAUUCGUUUACUUACGGCCCGUUACUGUCAUUUUCUGCUUGUGGGCCAAAUUCAGCCCGUGGUUACAGUCGGCCCGUUUGUGGUCCGUUAAUACGUUGGGCCGUUUUCAUAGCGUCAUCAAAUACAGCCUAUUAACGAUGGCCCGUUAUGGUCGGCCCAUGAACGGACGAUUCCAACUCUAGCCCGUUUACGGCCAGAAUGCAGUCUGUUUGGCCCAUGUUUGGCCAAUCGAUCAUACGGCCCGUAUAAGGCCAAUUGAUGAUACGACCCGUAGAAGGCCCAUUGUUUCUACGACCCGUAGAAGGCCCACUGUUUCUACGGCCCGUAGAAGGCCCACUGUUUCUACGGCCCGUAGGAGGCCCAGUGUCACUACAGUAAAUAUUAGCCCAUGGUUAUUGUGGCCUAGUUUUAAAAAAUAGGUUAUUGCAGCCACUAGCAAACCGCAGAAAAAGAACUGCACUGACUACAAGAAAACAAAUAAACAAGACAACAAGGAAAUAAAUAAGCAAGCAACUUACACUAGGCUAUCACGGCUAUUACACAUAUUACAUCCACUGGGCAUCAAAGUUCGCCACCAGUGCAAAUAUAGGGAACACAGCAGCAUAUAAACGCCGCAGCAAAACAAGUCCAGAACUGAAACCACUUCAGAAGAGCUCAAGAAACAAUAUCCUGGGUACCCAUAAUGCUGGCAAGAUGCUUAGCAAGCUUAUUAACUUUCUUUUGUUUGGCGCUUAAGUCCUCCAACGCUUGCUGUUGCAUCAGAAAGUAUGCAUCUGAAUUCUGCAGGGACUUCCUCAGUCCUUCGGCUUCCUGUCGCAUAACAUCUGAUCGAUGUCUUUCAACUUGAAGUUGAGACUCAAGAAGCCGAACUGAUUCAGGCAACGAGUUCGAAGAGCUGGUGCCAGCAGUGGUAGCGAGUAACUCGAACACUACAUCAAGACAGGACUUUGGGGUUGUCUCAGUGUCUAUAGUUUUUAUCAGCUUUCUUGGAGACCAACAGGGAUGUCUCACUAUCUUGAACCUUAUCUACAUUACUUCCUUUACCAUUGCAUAACAGGGUACUCUUCUCCAAUAUUUUAUCCGCGUUCUAAAAGAGAAACAAACAAACACAUCUCAGGUUUACAAUGUAGUAUAUGAAACUCAUUUUGGUAAACCAGUUCAGUAGUAAGGUGGACAGGAUAACAACAUGAAACAAACAUAUAGCUAUGUAGUAUGGUCACUGUAUGGUCUAUAUCAUUAUAGUUUAUGUUGCCAAAUCAAGAUAGAUACAGUUCGAAUCAUAUCUAUUUAAGACAAAGCAUCAUAGACAGAAUAUAAGUGUGGGAAACUACACAGCAAUAACAACACUUGUAAUGUGCAUGGCAUGAGAACAUAACUGUUUAUUCAAUUGAAACUAAAAUCAACAUAGAGCAAGUUACAAUAGCAAACAACCAAACACGUUGAAGAAACAGGUUUAAAACAUACCUGUUGCGCCAUUGGAGUUUCAAUUGCAUCCUUCAAAUUUGAAAUUAGUUGGUAUCAGUAAAUACAGUGAUGCAAGAGCAAAGUAGUAUGAACCACAGCUACGGAAUCUGACCUGAGAACAAUUCUUCUUCUGCUUUAAGCGUUGACUUCGGGUUCGGAGUGGUGGUCCUCAUGAUUUGGGCACUGCAGUUGCCUUACUAACUGCUCGUGUUUGGGUGCUCUGUGGUGGAGACGGUGCUGUGUCAACGGGAACUGGGUGUCUAUCUGCUGGGGUUGGGGUUAGAAGGGGUAUAGCUGGUUCUCUGUCCAACUGGGUAGGGGUACAAUCUGCAUGAGUGUGGGUUAUGUGUGGUGGGGCUGGUUCUUGGGCAAGUACAACCGUGGUUCUAUCUGCAUCGACAGGUAGCACGAUCUUUUCUGAAGACCGUGUUUUUACUCCCACAGAUACUACCAUCAGUCCCUUCAAUUGAAAUGGCUGAUAAACAAGAAAAGUAAUUGAAUGUACAGACAUUGUAAGAUAGACAGGUGCAAUGGAUAGUAGGGAAGAAAACAGGGCAUGAAAUAAUUCACAUUUAUGUUGUCUAAGCAAACAGAAUAGCAGGACAUAAUUUCACAUAUAUGAUGGCUAAUUAAACAGGAUAGCAUGACACAAUUUCACAUGUAUGAUGGCUAACUAAACAGUAUAGAAUGACAUACUUCAAAAUAUGAUGACUAUGUAAACAGGAUGACAUGAUAUAACUAUACGAUGUGUCUAUUAAAGUGGUUGGCAUGCCAUAAAUCACAAACAUGCCGUCGAUGGAAACAUGAUGGCAUGAUAUAAUUCACGGAUAGAAUGACAUAAUUUAAAAUAUGAUGACUAUGUAAACAGGAUGAGAUGAUAUAACUAUAUUAUGUCUUUAGAAAAUGGGUUGGCAUGCCAUAAUUCAGAUACAUGCUGUCUAUGUAAACAUCAUGGCAUGACAUAAUUCAAAUAUAUGAUUUAUAUACUAAGGAAGUGAGCAGUGAGCAGAGGGCAUUCAAUAUUGUGUAUAUGAUGUAAAAACUAAGCAUUGCAAUACAACAUAUGCAUUAUAUGAGUAAUAUAACCCUGCCAAGUUUGAGCAUACACCUCAGGGGGAUAAUAGGACUGGUCAUCUGCCUCUGAAUCCUCCUCUGAAGAGCUAUCUGUAACCAGCAAGAUAUCUGCUUCAGCAGGUAGCAUUGUCUGCUCUGAAGACCUUGUUUUCACUCCAGAUUUCUCCUUCACCAAUUCAAACGGCUGAUGCACAGGAAGAGCAGUUGAAUAUACAAACAUUGUCGACCAAAGCAAUGAGAAAUACAAAAAAAAGGACGGCAUGAUAUAAUUCACAUAUAUGACGCUUGCCUAAACAGCAUGCACUACUAGGAAAAGGGCUAUAGAUGGAAUGGCCACUAAUGGCGCACUGUACAUGUGGUGCGCCAUUACUAAAUACUAAUGGCGCACCAUGUGUCGGUGCGCCAUUAGUGUGAAAAUACUAAUGGCGCACCACAUCCACGGUGCGCCAUUAGUAAUUUUUUUUAAUUUUUUCAAAACUACUAAUGGCGCACCGUGGGAUGGUGCGCCAUUAGUAGUUCAACUAGUAAUGGCGCACCACCCCACGGUGCGCCAUUAGUAAUUAUGUUUCAAAUUUUUUUUUUCAAAUUUUUUUAUUUUUAUUUUUUAAACUACUAAUGGCGCACCUGUGAGUGGUGCGCCAUUAGNNNNNNNNNNNNNNNNNNNNNNNNNNNNNNNNNNNNNNNNNNNNNNNNNNNNNNNNNNNNNNNNNNNNNNNNNNNNNNNNNNNNNNNNNNNNNNNNNNNNNNNNNNNNNNNNNNNNNNNNNNNNNNNNNNNNNNNNNNNNNNNNNNNNNNNNNNNNNNNNNNNNNNNNNNNNNNNNNNNNNNNNNNNNNCAUUACUAGUUGAACUACUAAUGGCGCACCACUCAUAGGUGCGCCAUUAGUAAUUUUAUUACAAAUUUUGUUUGUUUCAAUUUUUUUUUGAAAAACUACUAAUGGCGCACGGUUGGGGAGGUGCGCCAUUACUAGGUGAACUACUAAUGGCGCACCACCCCCAUGGUGCGCCAUUAGUAACUUGGCCCAUUCCACCGAAUGCACCCCCCGGACCGCCUUUUCAGUUUAAAAAAAAAUAAAAGAAAAUGAUGGAAAUGUCAAAAAAAUAAAAUAAAAUAAGUUUCCCAUGUGAUAUGUGGUCUAGUUGUUGGGAAAAUUAACAAAUAUGAAUUUCGACUUUAUUUGCAAAAUCUCUCUGAAAUUUCUUAAAAUGGGCAUAACUUUUGCAUACGAACUCGGAUGAAAAAGUUUUUUAUAUGAAAAAUCAUCUACUCGAAAAGUUACAUCCGAAUUUAACUGGGGGAACUCCGUUAAACAUUUUCAAAAUCCUCAAAAACCUAACAGAAAAAAAGAUACGGGGCUUUUAAGAUCUGGAGAGGCAAAAAAAUUCAAAAAAUAUCAAACUUACUAAUGGCGCACCUGCCCAUGGUGUGCCAUUACUAUCUUCCCGCCUUCAAAAUUCAAAAUAAAUUAAAAAAAAUAAAAAAGUUACUAAUGGCGCACCUGCCCAUGGUGCGCCAUUAGUAUCUUCCCGCCUUCAAAAUUCAAAAUAAAUCAAAAAAAUAAAAAAAAGUUACUAAUGGCGCACCUGCCCAUGCUACGCCAUUAGUAUCUUCCCGCCUUCAAAAUUCAAAAUAAAUAAAAAAAAUUAAAAAAUAGUAAUGGCGCACCUGCCCAUGGUGCGCCAUUACUAUGCCGUAUAUAUGGCUGGGCGUGUCCUCUCCUCCUUACCUCUUCAUUCUUCUCCUCCACUCCACCUCUCCUCCACUUCAUCUCCUUCUCCCUCCUCUCCGGUGAGCUCCUCCUCCCUCCUCUGCGGUGAGCUCCUCCUCCCUCCUCUCCGGUGAGCUCCUCCUCCCUCCUCUCCGGUGAGCUCCUACUCCCUCCUCUCCGGUGAGCUCCUCCUCCCUCCUCUUUGGUGAGCUCCUCCUCCCUCCUCUUCGGUGAGCUCCCCUCAUGGUUUCUCCUUCCUCCUCUCCGAUGCUCCGGUGAACUCCUCUCCGGCGACCUCCUCCUCCUCUCCGGCGAUGUAGGCAAGCACCUCUCCGGCGACCUCCUCCUCCUCCUCUCCGGCGAACUCCUCUCCGGCAAAAGAACACGGCAAAAGAACGUACAAGAUCCAAAAACAGGAACAAAAUUUGAAAUAAUAUCGUGCAAAAAAUGAGCCGAAAAAAGAGCAAAAAAUGGGCAAAAAAAUCGCGAUCCAGAUCCAAAUUCAAAAAUAGCAAAGGAUACUAAUGGUGCAUCACUAAACAGUGCGCCAUUAGUAUGCCGAAGUUACUAAUGGCGCAUCCUGUUGUUGUGCGCCAUUAGUAUGCCAAAGCACCUGGGUAUAGAUGGCCCCCUGGGAGGCAUACUAAUGGCGCACUGUUGUAUAUACUAAUGGCGCAUCUGGGGUGCGCCAUUAGUAUACUAGAUACUAAUGGCGCACCAGUGGUGCGCCAUUAGUAAAAUAUACUAAUGGCGUGGUACUAAUGGCGCACCACUAAUGCGCCAUUAAUGGCCAAAUUAGGUGCGCCAUUAGUAGGCCUUUUCCUAGUAGUGAUGGCAUUGCAUAAUUCACAUACAUAAUGCCUUGCAACAAGAUAACAUUGCUUAAUUCACAUAUAUAAUGUCUUGCAACAAGAUGGCAUUGCAUAAUUCACAUAUAUGGUAAUUAGACACUAAACAGGUGGCAUUCACACAAAGCAUGUCUAAACUAAGCAAAUGACAUAGCAAUGCAAGAUACCAUACACACGAUAUGAGCAACAUAACCCUGCCAAGUUAGGGCAUGCACCUCGGGGGGGGGGGGAAUAUGACUGGUCAUCUGUCUCUGAAUCCUCCUCUAAGGAGCUAUCGGUAACCAGCAAGACAUGCGCUUCGUCAGAUAGCAUUGUCUGCUCUGAAGACCUUGUUUCCACUCCAGAUUUUUCCAUGACCGUGCCGAAUGGCUGAUGCACAGGAAGAGUAAUUGAAUGUACUAAAAUUGUUGACAAAUUUAACACGUAAUAAAAAAAUGAUGGCAUGAUAUAAUUCACAUAUAAGAUGACUGGCUAACCAGGGUGGCAUUGCAAAAUUCACAUAUAUGAUGCCUGGCUAGACAAGAUGGCAUUGCAUGAUUCACAUAUACGAUAAAGAAACUAAACAGAUGGCAUUGACACAAAGCAUGUCUAAACUAAGCAGAUGACAUCUUUAAUGUAUACAGUAAGCAAUGCAAGGCACCAUAUGCAUGAUAUUACCAACAUCAGCAUGCCAAGUUAGAGCGAAGACCUCAUGGGGUAAAUAGGAGUGGUCUUCUCCUUCUGAACCCCCCUCAGAACAGUUAUCUUCCUCUUGAUUACGAUCCAAAAUGGGUGGAGGGGGGCUGCCUUUGCGCCCACCAUGGAACGACGUCUGCAUGAAAUUUUAUUGCCAUGCAAGGCUCGUCUCUUUUGCUCUACAUGAUCAGUUCCAUUGUGUACAAUAAAUGGCAUGCAUAGGAAUAAAACAUAGUGAGAUUAUGUAAGGAGUGCAUGCACAAAUCCAGAGUGAUGGUAGCAAACUAUGGAUAGACCCAAAACCAAUGAUAGCAGGCAGAUAAUAGCUUUAGUUAAAAAAUACAGAUAAUGGCUCCUUUAAUGUUUGUUUGCACCCAACAUGAAACUCAUAGUAGACACCGGAGAUUAACCAGAUAGUAGACAGAUAGUACUGAUUGCUGCCCCAAUAUGUACCCCACAACCAUUUAAAAACUCAAGUUUCAGCAUUAGUUUGGACCUGACUCGGAGUCUAAUAGGUGAACACGACGAUAAUGUAGCAUGUCAUCAUAUUAAGCGACGCAUAACGUAAGCAGACACGGAAGAGUGCGACCUCUCUUGUGGACCCGUGUAGUCCUCAAGGUCAUCUGCUCAGUUGAUGAUGGUAAUGCAGUUGCCGUGGCUGCCGACGGCGGGGAAGAAGAUUUGAGGCGGCGAAAGACAGUCUGGAGAGCGGAUCCCUGCUGUGGUGAAAAGUAGUACCAUAGGAAACUUUCCAAUUCCGAUGUUUUUCAUUCACUUUUCCUUUCAAGCACUGGCGAUUCUAGUAGGCAGGCUUGAGCAAGGAAAAUCCUACACUAAAAAAAUGUUUUUGUGCUACUUCUAUUACUUUGGACCCAGGCCACUGCCAUACUAGCUCAACUCCCAGGCCCAUCGACAAAUGCACAGCUCAAACGCGCAGAGAUAAAUAAUGAUGGCGUUCAAGAGAGUCCAUCACGGAUAGCUAAGUUGCCUGGUACCUCACUGCUUGUCAUAUACUAGGAUAAAAUAAUCGUAUUUCCCGUUACUACGAGUGCUCAGUGGACAAUAUAUAUAACAUGUAGAGUAAAAAAGAGAUGCAACAAGUGUACAACCUCUUUGGCGAAGCCAUGUCGAUCUCAGCGUGAUUGGGUUGGCCGGUGAGGAUGCUCCGGCUAACUUGGCUGUCGGAGGAGGGGAAGAAGAUCUUAGGCGUCUCGAGAUGGAGCCCGAGGUACUGCUCCGCUGUGAUGGAGGGUUUCGUCGUUGGAGCAGCUCCGGUGAGUUGUACGACGCCGAGACUGAAGCAGGACAAGAGAGACAACGAACAACGUUAACCUGAGUGGAAUUCUAAUAGCAUAUCCAAUACAUGACGUAAAAUACAUAACCACAAAGUGCUAGAUGUAAAAUACAUCAGCCGCUCAUCUCUGAACUUAACUGUCGAAACUAAAUUUAACUGUCAAAACUGAACUUAACUGUCGAAACUGAAUUUUGCUGUCGAAACUGAACGCACUAGCAAGGUGAGGCUACACGUCGGUCGACUGACUUUUUCAUCUCUAGUCAGUCGAUUUUGCAGCCGUUGGAUACGAAAUCAAGGGCCUCCGGUUCAUCUUCAACCUCCACCCUCCUGAGCCGCCAGCCACCACCGGCCAAACAGCAGCCCCCCGCCGCCCGCGGCCGGUGGUGCGCCGCCCCGCCCGCCCCGAAAACACUCCCNNNNNNNNNNNNNNNNNNNNNNNNNNNNNNNNNNNNNNNNNNNNNNNNNNNNNNNNNNNNNNNNNNNNNNNNNNNNNNNNNNNNNNNNNNNNNNNNNNNNNNNNNNNNNNNNNNNNNNNNNNNNNNNNNNNNNNNNNNNNNNNNNNNNNNNNNNNNNNNNNNNNNNNNNNNNNNNNNNNNNNNNNNNNNNNNNNNNNNNNNNNNNNNNNNNNNNNNNNNNNNNNNNNNNNNNNNNNNNNNNNNNNNNNNNNNNNNNNNNNNNNNNNNNNNNNNNNNNNNNNNNNNNNNNNNNNNNNNNNNNNNNNNNNNNNNNNNNNNNNNNNNNNNNNNNNNNNNNNNNNNNNNNNNNNNNNNNNNNNNNNNNNNNNNNNNNNNNNNNNNNNNNNNNNNNNNNNNNNNNNNNNNNNNNNNNNNNNNNNNNNNNNNNNNNNNNNNNNNNNNNNNNNNNNNNNNNNNNNNNNNNNNNNNNNNNNNNNNNNNNNNNNNNNNNNNNNNNNNNNNNNNNNNNNNNNNNNNNNNNNNNNNNNNNNNNNNNNNNNNNNNNNNNNNNNNNNNNNNNNNNNNNNNNNAGUCGAUUGAAGUGUAGCUAAAUCGGAGCAGCAUCGCAAGCAAGAGCAAGAGCGAGAGCAGUAGCGUGAGCAAGAGCAAUAGCAAGAGUAGACCAGGCAGGGGACCGAGAGCAAGAGCAGAGCAGCAGCGCGAGCGAGAGCUAAAGCAGCAGCAGCUCCUACUGAUGUGGACGUCGCCGCCGAGGGAGCGACGCCGUGGAGGAAGUGGCCGGCGACGCCACCGUGGACGGAGCCGCGCCGUGUCGGCUCGGGACCGAGCGCCGGCAGCACCGUGAGAUCGAAUCAAGAAGAAAAUGCGGCGAUUAGUGUACAACCUCUUUGGUGGCGCCGAUUAGGCCGCAGCUUCAUCCGAGGAAACGGUGAUGAUGAUGCUCUUCCGGUGGUGCAGGUAAAGACGGCGGUGUGGGAAUGGAGGUGGCGCGAAAGACGAGGGGAACAUCGGGGCAGCUCCUUGGAGGUGGAGGACGGGGUGGCUGAACCGACGGGAUGAUGAGAUCGACGACGGAUUCUCAUCCGGUACGGUGGAUGAGGGACGUCGAGGUAUUGCUGUGGACGACGUCGUCGGGGAAGAGGCUCCGGCUGGGUGGCAGACGGAGCAGGGUGUGGGGUUUCAUUGCGGGUUUUCGCGGCCUCGGUGUACGAAUGGGUGGACGGAUGGGAUGGCAGUGGGGAACCAUGGCUUAGAGACGCGCUUGUCCAAAAUGUGGGGUAAGUUACGAAAGUACCCCCACCGAUUUGAGGCGGUUCUUUCGGUUCAGGGGUACCACGGGCAUUUCGCAUGUCGGGAUUUCACAGGAGGUGGGAGUUUUCGCGCGCGUUGUAAUUUCGGAAUAGCAAGGCACGGGUUGAGAUGGAGGGAGUUGUCGGAGCACAACGAGACAAAGAUAUAUCUUAAAUAUUUCAGGCUAACAAGGCGCGGGUUCAAUAGGCGGGAGUUUCGCAGCACGAUAGACAGAGACGCUAGCUUGAAUUUUCGGCAUAACAAGGCGCGGCUUGAAAUUUCGGAAGAACAAGCUUAACAUGUACCCAAAAAAAAGACAAUUUGCACCUCAACACGCACAACACACACACAAACACCAUUUAGACUAGAGUAAGGUACACGUGCAUUGCACGCAUGAGAUUUGGCAACCAAAUUAUGAAUAAAUACCACAUUAUAGCAUGCAAGCUUUGAGUCAUAUAUGCAUGAUGUAGAUGUUCGUUUAAUUCUUAUAGUUCAUUUCAUUCAAAAUCAUCUAGUUUAUAUAAGAAAGCUAAUCUAUUUUAAGAUUCAUGGAAUUGUGCGUCGUAAGAUAUAAAGUAAAAACAAAUAAUGGCAAAUCAUGUAGAAAAACAUUUGGGCAAUUCUGAUACGGAAGAUUCUAGAACAAAUAAGAAGUGCUUGUGUUUUGAUGUUUGUGCAUUAUGCUUAAGUUCAACCAUGGAGUCUUCUAGAUUAUACAUGUGGCGAAAUCUGGUGGAAUCUAGAUGAUAUCCAACGGCCAGUAGUGCUCAAAUUUGCCAUCUUUGGACCAUCGGAUUCGCCUCAUCCAACGACAAUCUUUCAAAGUUAAAGUUACCCGCACACAAUAUAAAAAAAUAUAACAUAUAAUAUAUAUAGGGGUAUAGAUAUAGAUAUGUGAUGCGAAAGCCGCCCAUCAUCUCCAAUUAGAAUAGUGUGUCCAUGCACGGAUGCGACGUGGCCAAAUGAUGUCUGCCAUCGGUAUCUCAAAUUCAAAUCAGUCUGACCUUGUUCAAUGUGUAUACAUUACAACAUGCUCGUUUCCAAACCACACCGUGCAGAUCUCCGUUAUAUUCAUGCAUGCAUGGGUUUCAAACAUCAGGAUCUCUUAUUCAAAUAUUUGAAUUCAACUUUACAUUGAUUAUGACCUCACCUAUUCUUUUACACUCACACAGUAGUCUUCUCUUUAUAAUUGUAUCACUAACUUUCUCUCGUGCAUGCAUGCACACACACUACCAGUCGGCAUUAUCCAUCGCACGCAUACAAUCUUUUUCUUCAGGUCGGUCUCCCAUGAAGGCACACACCCACACACAUCCCCCUCUCCAUCAUAUCGGGCAUUCUUUAUCUCUCACGCGUGCAUGCGCAACGAUCGAUGUUCCUCUAUGUAUGUGUGUAUAUAGCUAGGUCUUUCAUAGUUUUCCACACAAACCGAUCAAUCGAUAUAUCCAGUGAGGUCUCACCCUCUUUCCCACGUCCACAUCGAUCAAUCUAUACCUCUCUAUAUAGGAUUAACAUAUAUAGCUAAUACACCCACAUUAAUUAUAUAUCCAACGUCCCCCUCUCAUCAUCCAUGCCUUCCGCUUCAUCUCUCAGACGCGUGCACAAUGGCGAAGACAGGGGGCAGUAAGGGCCCUGCCCCCCUCCCCCCCUAACAUCACUAUAUAUCGAGGCUAAUAUGAAUGUGAUCAUUAGACAAGUGCUGCUAAAAAUGGUUUAAGUUCAUGAAUUGACCCUCCUCGUAAAGGAUUAGCAAUGCUUGGCCCCCUAGCUCCUUUAUUUUUCAUGGCUCCGCCACUGCGCGCAACAGCGCACGUGUUCGCCCCCUCUCUCUAAAUAUCGAUCUCGCACUUGUGCAUUCCUUCAUAGUCUCCCUCCACUCAGCCCCUCGCACCAUCUUCUAGCCCCCCACCGGAUUUUGCCACAUGUACAAUCUAGCAGACUCCAUGGUUGAACUUAAGCAUAAUGCACAAACCUCAAAACAACAGUGGUUCUCUUUUGUUCUAGAAUCUUCCGUAUCAUAACUGCCCAAACUUUUUUUCUAGUUGAAUUGCCAUUAUUUGUUUUUACUUUAUGCUUUACAACGCACAAUUCCAUGAAUCAUAAAAUAGAUUAAGGGCUUCUUUGAUUCAAAGGAUUCUCAAAGGAAUUUUGGAGGAUUCUAAUCAUUAGGAAUUUUUCCUAUCUUGGUUGUUUGAUUCGUAGGAUUGUAAACCAUAGGAAUUUUUCCAUAUGAUUCAUUUGCACUAGAUUUCAUAGGAAACAUCCCAUCCACUCAAACCUCUUUGAAAGAAUUCUGCGUUUUUUCUAUGCACAAUCAAACACUCGUACAAUCCUGUAGGAUUCAAGACGACAUUCCACUAUAAUCCCAUGUUUUUUCUAUUCCCGCGUUCUUAGCUUUUUUAUAAAAACUAAUUGAUUUUGAAUGAGAUGAACUAUAAGAAUUAAACGAAGGGCUACAUCAGGCAUAUAUGACUCAGAGCUUACAUGCUAUAGUGUGGUAUUUAUUCAUAAUUUGGUUGCAAAAUCUGAUGCGUGCAAUGCACGUGUACCUUACUAGUACUUCGAGUAUGUGCAAAACACGUAAAUUAGAAUACCAAUGGCACGCUACACAGUGUCUCUCUUACAGUUCAUGAAGCCAUGUGGCACAUGUGGAGGCGUUGUCGCGACCUCCUUGCGUGGAUUGAUCACAGUGACGUGCUGCUGGUUCCAGAAGAAUGUACUCGUCCUCCCUGAGCCAUACUGGCGGUAUAUGCACGAAGCGAAGAUGUGCACGCACGCCACGCACGCACUCAUUCCCUCGCACGCACACGCGGGUACACGGGCGGACGCAAUUUUGUACCAAGAUCCACCCCAUGUGAUAAUUUGACGCGUGUAAAGUCGUUCACUUCAUUGAUGGUCAAUUAAUACAGCGCAUGCAAAUUGAGUGGACGUGAGGGCGGAAGAAAGACAUUAUUACUCCACUGCGCGCAUGCGAGUAGUUAAAUCGUGGGUUGCUAGUAGUACUUCCAUUGGUCUCCUUCGUAUUUUUGUGCCAAUUUUUGACAGUAACAUAAUAUUUACGCAUUUGAGCAGUGUAGUACUUGAAAUUUAUGUUCCGCUAAACUCAUAGGGAGCCGUUUCGGGCCUCGAAACCAAAACCAUCAAUUAAUCUUUACCUUGUUCCCAUCACAUUCGAAAGCCUGCUCACACCUACUAGUGCGUACCAAACCUGAACGUGUUCCCACUAUGCAGGUAUUAGUACUAGUGCUAGUACUUAGGUUAUAAAAAGGGGAACUACCUAACCAAAAAUUACUCUACCUUUCCUCCUCAUAAGUGCUUCUUCUUCGUCCGUCGUUGCCAUGGCCGGUGAGCAGAGCUCUAGGUCGAGAAAUACUCGUAACAAGGGAGUGGCAACCAAGGCCGCGGAAAAAAAGAGGGCUCGCCGCCACGUAGAGACCUCGAAAGAUCUCUCACGGGCAGGCGAUGGCUCCCAGGAGCGCCCUAGCCGCGGAGGCGAACAUGCCGAGCCGGCGGAGCUGGAGUCGUUAUCCCUCGACGGCAUGCCCGAUCAGCUCAAUAAGCAGAAGGAGUUCAUCCAAGGCUUGAUGGAGUUGCUGAAGGAGAGCCUCGAAGACAUGCCCGCUGAGCUCAAUCAGCAGGGGGAGUUGACCGCCGGCUUGGUGAUGCUGCUGAAGAAGAGCAUUGCCUCGGAGAAGAAGGCGACCGGCGAAAUCCUGCGACUUCAGGAGGACAAGGCGAAGCUCUGCCACAAGAUCGACCUGUUGAAGGAGAAGAACGCCGGCUGGAAGAAGCUACAUGAGAAUAGUAGUUCCUCGAUGAAGAUGUUGCAGGCCCUCGUCAUGGAACAGAAGGAGGAGUUGGCGAAGCUCCGCAUCGAGCACCCGGCUGCUGUCAAGGUACGUAAUGCGGCCGUGGAACAGAUGAUGAAGGCUCGCGUCGAGAAAUCCCGCGUCAUGGACAGAAUGAAGAAGAUGGCGGAGGAGACGCGCAACGAGAUGGAGGCCGUGGAGGCGAUGAAGAAGCAGUUACUACUCCGCGGCGAAUUAGAUCAUUUCGGGUGAUAAUCUUCCUUCUUCUUUUGCUCCUGUGUUUCAUCUUUCGCUUCGGGUGUUUCGCCGCACGUGUCACGUUCUCUGCGAGGCAUGAAUAGAACAAUGUUUUUUUUGAGGGAAUGAAUAGAACAAUGCUAACAAUGAGAUGACUAGCAAAUUAGAUCAUUUUUAUCGCCAUAUGGCACAGGGCUGCCGUGUUUCGUGCUCCUCCGUCGCAGUACUACUCGAGUGGAAAACUUGAGUAUACCGCAUGGUUCUUUGCUCCUCCUCGAUCAGGUCGUCGGCGCAUUUAUAUGAGCAGUCAAAUCACAAGGCCCCGCCUUCCAGCAGUAAUGAGCCGUCAAUCACAAAGGCCCACUCCUCUCGUGAAACCGACCAAGCUAGACUACCCCGCCCUCCAGCCUUUAAAAAUGUAUACUUUUGUACAACAGUAUUAUCGAUGGAUUGCGCCAUGGAGCAAAACUUGAAAUUAGAAAAAAGGUGGUACAUAUAGAGAGCGCUCGUCGCCAAAUUAUGCAUAUAGUACUAUUAAAAAGGCUAGUCACAAUAGUGGUGUGCAGCACAACCCACCCCUCAAAUAAAACUAAGAGGGUGCUUGGAUACGUUUUAGUCCCAUGACUAAAAGUAGUGGGACUAAAACAUGCUAGCCUCACCCAUGCUUGGAUCCAAAUACUAAAAUGGCUAAAAUCAAGUUAAUGAGCAUUUAUUAUCCUCCAAACCCUCCAAUCCAGAACUCGCCUGUGUUAAAGGAGAGGAUUUAAAUGAGUAGAGAGAGGACUAAUCCACAUUUUAGUAGGGGUACCCCUGACUAAAAUUUUUUAGUCUCAAGACUAGUUUUAGCCCCUCUUUAGUCAGGGGUGCUUGGAACUUUAGCCUCUUAAAGAGACUAUUUUUAGUCAGACUAAAAUAAGUCCCUUGGAUCCAAGCACCCUCUAAGCAUCCUGGAAUUCUUUGACAAAACUAAGCACCCUGAAAUUCUUUGACAACUAAACUGCUCGCUAUAUGAUGUUGGCCAUAUAUAUUGUACGUAUAUAAUGUGAAGAAACGAGUGGUAGUACCAUACCAACUAAAAGAUGAAAUGUAAGAAAUACUAGUAUGUACGUACUGAAGAGUUAAAGUAACGAGAAGAAACAUAACAUAGUUCUGCUGGGGGCUCAGCACAACACACCCCUCAAAUUAAAUUAAGCACACCUGAAAUUAAACUUAGAAACUAUUCCGGUAGACACUACAUUAGAACCACCAUGAGCAACGACACUGCCACCUUACUCGGAGUCCUCGUCCACGUCCUCGACUUCGUCCUUGUCCCUCUUCCUCUUGGCCGAUACUUCUUUGCUUGAACCGCACACUUGGCUGUUGCUCUUCAUCCAACCCUUGUAGAUAUUGAAGCAAAGGUAGCCAUCCAUUGCAGCGUAGUGGAUGUGGUCUAUAUCUAGUACAUUCCGCUGCCGUGCAUGACGAUGAAACGUCUAUGGAGGUUUCUCCAGUUGACCGUACGAAGGAUGAACCAUGGCUCCUGCCAGGGUCAGCAUUGAAGGCUGACGAGAGGACACCAACCGAUUCUUCUGGAGGUCGAAGAUGUUGCCUACAACGAGGCCUAUCCGACGCAGGACUUCUUUGUCGUUACCAAAGUCUACAGUAACGAAUUUGACUAGGUUGCUCUCGAGGAAGUCCUUAUAAUCCUAGCACUCAACGUCGGCAUGGCAUAUGUGGUAGACCAAGCAUAAGUCAUGCACGCAAACCUGGAUCACGGUGGGCUUCUUCCUCUCUUCGUCCUUUAGAUCCUUCUCUCGUCCCAGGAUUGUGGUGUACUCAACAUCUAGCCCAGUGACCCACUCAUCAUCUGAGUCUUCGAACAUGCGUCUGAAGCGAGAAAGGCAUCCUUUCACCGUCGCGGAAGAACGGGUGUAGAUGACGUCGAACUCAUCGCCGGUGAUGGUUCUAACCUUGUACUCACCACCGAUCGUGGAGAUUUGGGACGCCAUGGAUUUGGGAGGAGGGUUAGGAUUAGUGGAACUGCCGUAAUGUGAAUGGACGGGACGACUAGGAGCGAACUGCCGUAGUAUUGAAGGACGUGUGGGGACGAGUAGGAGCGAACUGCCAGCGUGCGAACGGCAGGGUAGUGGCUUUCCAUUCUCCCAUGAUACGGGCUUCCGAGAGCCCUUGGAUCUGAGAUCGAACGGUUGCAUGGCGUGAUUCUAGACCUAUGGGUGAAUAUCCUAUCCUGGAGGGUUAUUCUGAAAAUUUUCAGCAACUUAGCAUGCGACCGUUUGAUCUCAGAUCCAAGGGCUGCCAGCAGCCCGUAUCAUGGUCGCGCCUACCACGACCGUCGCGUCACUCACGCGGUCGCGCCCUUGGAGAUUUAACAUGGUGCGUUAGGCUAUCUGAUGUUGGCAUGUCAUACAUAGUCAUCACUUAGUCACUCAUACUACAACAAGGUUGGCUAUAAGUGUAAUUUUUUUACUCCUCUCUAUCUCUUUCUUCGUACUCCCUCCGUCCCAUAAUAUAAGAACGUUUUUGACACUAGUGUAGUGCCAAAAACGUUCUUAUAUUAUGGGACACAGGGAGUACUAGUAUUUAUUGCAUUUGCCAAGGAGUGACCUCUUCCAAUGAAAUGGUGUUGCUAAGUUUGCUUCAUUUAAUUAGCUAUAGACUCAAAAUUGUCUUUUCACCUAGGUACACGCGCUUAGCACCGUUUCUUCCUUGGGUCACCAAACUAGUCUCUCUCUUCUUGAUUAACUUGCCACAUCAGACUUUAUGCCUAUGUGGCAAGCUUAAGCACCUGUAGGAGCAAGUAAAAGUAAGUACAAUAGUGCGCUUUACAUGGCAUUUUUGCAUAUGUGGAGGAAACAGAGGCAAGGAAAAAGUGGAGAAGUGGGCUCUCACGCAAGAGCCAGCCUCUACUACAUGGUGGAGCAUUGGGAGAGGCACCUGUAUGGAGGUGGUCAGGAAUCGGGAGACUCACGCCGGUCGUAGCGCCGCAGUUAAAAUGAUAAUGGCAAGUCAAAUCACGGGGCCCCACCUGUCCAGCAGUAACUCGCUGUCAAAUCACACAACCCUACGUUUGCAGCAGCCUACUCCCUCGUCUUCUCGCGUCUCUGUCGAACCGACUAGGCGGAACUGCCCCGCCUACCGCGCAGGAAAAGCCCCGCCCUCGACUUUUAAAUAGUAUACAGUAUACUAAUUUUGUAUCCAUGGAUUGCGCCCGCGCCAUGGAGCAAAGCAUCUAGAAGACGGCGGUACACAUGUACGGAGUAUACACCACGCCCGUCGCGUUCGCGUCGCACCCCAGACGGUCGGUCGGUCUGGCACGCUGCUCUCCGAAUGGAACGCGCGUCAUAUUGCGUUUGCACACACAUGUGGGACGGCAAUUGAGAACCGACCAUAGGCACACUCCCCAGCCCCGCAAGUCGGGUGACUUAAUAGAAGAGGGAGACGAGCGAUAGUACUAGAGAAGUGUUGUACUACGUUGGUGCCUGGACGAUCCCUGCAAGACACGGAAGGUCAGUUCGUCCAUGCAUGUGACUAGACUCCAGCAGACACGCCUGGAUUGGCUAUCGUCUACAUAUCGUGCAGGCUGUGUUGUACAUGGCUGUAGUUGUGGUGAAAAAUCUAAAAAAAGGUUUCUUGUCAUCUCGCAAAAUUAGGUGUCAUGUGCUUCGGAUCACUGCGAGGGUUAAACAGCGACAACUGAGUUGGGCUAGUCAUUGAGGGAACAUGCACGAACAGUGACUACUCGGCUGCCAUCUAGGUCAAGCCGGCUAUGUUAAUUAGGACAUCUAUCGACGGACCCCUUUUCUAUGACUUUAUCUUUAAUUUGAGCUUUGUUCCUCAUCUAGUUUGUCCAUCGGGAUUCAUGUUGUCUCCUUUGGGCAGUGAGGUUAUGAUUUCUUGUCAUGUGGCAUUUUUUCGUGUUAUAUGUUAUAAUCCGGCGCUUCAAAUCAAAAUGACGACAACUGCGCCUCCGGGCCACGUGCAUGAAGACUUCUCGACAGUCAUUGACGAGGUCAAGCCGGCUCCGGUAGACAAAAGAAAACUAGUACUACUCCACUAUAUAGGCAGGAGCCUCCGCGCUUGCUUGCUAGUGUUGCUCUCUUCACACUGUCUCGGCCUCUCCAGAUCUAAACACGACAGUGGUGGCCACACUCUCUCUCUCUGCUCACCGCUGGUCACAGAUCCAGCCGGAUCCUCUCCGCCGGGGAAGGUGAGAAGGUGCAACGUUCACGCGGUCGUCCUCGGCGACGGCUCUUACCCACUGCUGGGCGCGUCCCGAUCAGCCUGCCUUGCCGUUCUCUCCCAAGCACCGCUGGCGAGGGAGGGCCUCCGACCCCUUCUUCCUCACUACCGUAGUGUGGGCAGAUCCGGCCUCCCGCCGCCCACCUAGCGACAUCCCGGUGACCAUCAGGUAUAACUUCCUUCGAAACCGGCCUUGCUCUACUUCCCGAGCUCCUGACGUUGCUGCAUUUGUAUCUUUUACUAUUUCUCAGGCCCCCUCGUAGAUAGGAUCGAUCGGCUGUUCGAAAACCACCUAAUUUUUUUACGUUUAAGAGGUAAAACUAGUUCAUGCACUCGAAUCUAGUACUACUUGGUUCAAACAAGGAAGAAAGGGGGUGGGGUGGGGGAGGAUUUGUUACCUGAAUCUAGGACUUGGUCGAAAGAGGAAAUAAUGGGGGCGAAAAGUAGCAGAGACUGGCUAUCCAACUGGUCUCUAGGUCUAAUAGGGAAAUAAAGGGAAACACAGUACAAACUCAAUAUAAACCCGAUCUAUUGGUUGAAAAGGAAAGAAAGUGGGGACUGGGGGACAAGUCAACAGAGUAAGUCCAGCACUAGAUUUGCUAGCCUCACACAGUAUAAGGUGGCUAUACCGAACAAAAAUGGGACCAACCCAGAUAUCCUGUUCUGAUGUUUGUUGCCCCGAGCCACUCCUAUGUAAUGCCACUGGUAAAAUGUAGUAGUCACACUGUUAAAAGUAAGGACACGUUAAACCAAUGUUGUUUUCAAUGUAAUGCCUCUAGUAAUAUGGAUCAAUGGCACUUCUUUACAUGUCCUGCUAAAAUUUCCCAUUAAGAUAAGUUGGUUCUUUUCGUUAGAAAUGCAACUGUCCUGGUCCGCCUACUCUCCCGUGCCCAAAGUAAUGUUGUAUUUAACGGUUGUCAUAGUUAAUCCUAAUGCCCACACUAAUAUCUAGCAAUGCCAGUGCUUUAGAAAUUGCUACUGUCCUUGUAGGAUUGCCAUUCAGAUAAGGAACAUGCUUCUUUUCAUUUGAUGCAUGUUUCAUCACUUGUUAGUCACCCUCCUUUCCACCUUUUUUUGCAAACAGAGAUAUACAUUUCACGCUCGAUCUUAGUUGAACUGCACAAAUGAUAUCCAAAUUAUAGUUGAGCAUUCCAGGAGCUCCACAACCAACCUUGAUGUUGCUCAAUUUUAUUGCAACUAAUGAAGAAGAAGCUCUGUGGGUUUCGUUUACUGAUGGAAAUGGAACCGGGGCUGGAGCCCUUUUCUUAAAAAAAUUGAAGAAGAAGCUGCUAGCUCACAGGACAUUGCUUCAUUUUAGGUGAACUGCACCAAAAGGUCCCAUGAAUUGAAUCAUCCAUGUUGGUGACUGAAAGAGCCAGCUUCAGCAUCCCAAUCUAAGCACCCCCAGCCUCCAUCCUUGCGACGCACGGUACACCUCGUUUGCCACCUGCUCGACCCUAGUGUCACUGAUAAAAUGAAGUAAUAAUACAGUUAAAAUAGAGCGAGUGUCUUCUCUAUCAUUUCAUUUCCAAUGUAGAUAAAGAAAGUGCUUCUCUUUGUUAAUGUAUGUUUCAUCAACUAGUCCCAUUGUUAAUGUUUAAGCGUUUCUGCAAACUGGGGUGCUUAAUUUUAGUUGAUAUGUACAAAAAUAGAGAUUUGAAUGUCUCAAGACGCCUCCUUGUACUACCGCUGUACACUGAUGUUCAUCACUGGCAGAAGGUGUAUCUGGGAGACUUGGGACGAUGUCCAGUAUGAGGCGUACCGUAUGAGGCGUCGCAGGGCCCAUCUCUCCCUCGCAGCAUGGCAUACUAUGAUACUAUCGCAAUAUUUUCUUCUAUUUAUUUUGUGUGUUUCAUCAACUAGUGCCACUAUAAUGUAAUCACGCUUUUUCAUUAUCUGUGCAAACAGGGUUAUUCAGCUGCAUUUUGGUGGAACUGCACAAAUGUACGUAUGGAACCGGCAUAUAUGCAGAGUGCGAGGUGUGCCAAGUAAAAAUUACCGACACCAACCAUGCUGCAUGCAUGCAUUUGCAUCCACCACCACCAGUGGGAUGUGUGGCGCUCUCUGUGGACGGAUCUUUCUCGACGGCAAAUCAUCUAACCAAAUACUAGUAGCUUAUAUUGGCAGUUUUCUACGGAGUACUCUUUUCUGAAAGAAGCACCAAUCUAUUUUUCUUUAUUUGUACACUGUGUCACAACUUUGACCCAAAGGUCCAGAGCUAUUUUAGGGUGAUUGGCGUAGUCUCGGAGACUGAUUGUAAGCAUGAUUUUCAUUAGCUAGCACACUGAUUGUAAGCAUGAGCGGGUGGAAGAUUAGGUUGGUGCGAAGCUUACCUUAAACCCUACCGCCGCCGUUGAAACGAGGCGGGCGUCGAGGGAACCGUGGAGAACGGCGGGGAAGCGACGUUGCGCCAUCCGGCCUCCUCUUGCGGUGGGAGAACGAAUACUCCUGUGGCUUCGGCUGGCUCUGCACCAUCACGAACGGCACACCAUACUCGAUCGAUUCGUUAUCCUCUGGGUGCUCAACCUUCGACCUGUACGCCCACCACCUUCGCCUGACUGUCGCCUCGGGCGAAUCUGUCUGCUCCAUCGCCCAGAGGAGAUACUCGAUGAACUCGGAGGACUGCGGCGUGACUGCCGCCGAGGAGUACAUGUACAUCGCCGCCGUCUCGCUCUUUCGCAUACAUUGCCACAUGGCCCGCACCGUCCUCGAAAUCUCCCACUCAUUGUCAAACCAACUAAGGAUCUCCUUCAACCUGGCUAACUUUGCCUGGUCGCCGCCGGCGAUCUGCCUGAUUCGCUGCUGCAUCCUCUCCAUAGAUGUCCUUCUGAGUGGUCCGGUGCUAGCUUUGGAAGAUGGGAGGAGAGACGAUGGUCUUGCAAUAGAGAAGAGGGAGAGGCUAGACGGUGGUUUUGGAAUGGAGAUGAUGGAGAGGAGAGGAGGUGGUUUUGCAAUGGAGAAGAUCAGAAGAGGGAGAGGCGAGACGGUGGUUUUGGAAUGGAGAUGAUGGAGAGGAGAGGAGGUGGUUUUGCAAUGGAGAAGAGGGAGAGGAGCGUGCAGCGGCAAUUUAGGAUUGGACGAGAGGGCCGGCGCGCUGUGACUGGAUCAAAAUCAAAAUCAAUUUACCCUUCAAUUAAGAAAGCGACCCCACAUUAACUAGUCUCCCUUUUAUCUGGGUCAUAAUUGACCAUGAUUUUCGCACAUAAAAUAUAUGUUAUACGUUGCAAAAAUAAUAUAAUUUGAAAUUACAUUCAGAUACGAACCAAACGAUACAAUUUUUGGUGACAUGCAUUCACAUUUUGCUUGUCAAAUACAGUACGUGGUCAAACUUUGACCCAAAAUAUGCAAAACAACAAAAAAAUACUUCCAAGACCAGCGCCGCUCUUCCGCUCUUCUCCUCUUAAACCACAGCCGCUCCUCUCCUGUUCCAAUCUAAAUGCAGCGCCGCUCCUCUCCUCUUCCAUUUCAAAACCACCGCCCCUCCUCUCCUGUUCUAGUCCAAAACCAGCGUCGCUCCUCUCCAGUUCUAAUCCAAAACCAGCGCUGCUCCUCUCCUCUUCCAUUCAAAAACAACAGCCGGCGAGUGAAGGUGUUGUGGAGAAGUAGAUCGAUGGAGGAGUACAACCGAUAUGUGAGGAUCGCAGACGACGAACCUGUGAAGCUAGCUAGGAUGUUGGAGAUACAGUCUUGGUUUGACAACAAGGACCAACUAGCGGCGACGGCGACAUCCAUGGCCAAAUAUCUGCAACAGAGCAGAUAGGCGGCGAUACUCCCGGAGGGAGUCGUGCCGGAGUACAUAGAGCUGCUCCUCUGGGCCAUGGAGCAAACAGAUUCACCGAAUCCGAUCAUGAGGGAGCGGUGGUGGGAGUAUCGAUCCCAGAUGGAGCAUCCACCAGAGAUUGAAGGAUCAAGCAUCUACAGGGUGCCGUUUGUGAGGGUGUCCUGCCAGAGCGAUCCGGUGGAGUCUUCGUCGACCGAACCCAACUGCAAGAGGAGAAAAGCAGUUGGCCCGACGACGCUUCCCCGCCAUCGUCUCCCUCGCCGUUCACAUCGUCUCACGGGGCGGCUGUCUGCCGCCGAGGAAUAGGAGGGGGCUGCCCCCCCAGCCCAAUAGUCGGGCAGGUUGUGAAUUGUCAGGAGGAGCUUAGGGUUGUCAGUAUUUGCAGGUUGUGAAUUGUGUUUUGUGUUGUGUAUUUUGAGAGUACUUUCAGAUAUGAAUGUCUUUUGAAUAUCAGAUUUGGAGUAUAGAGCAUAUGAAGUAUUUUAUGAAUUCUAGAGAUCUAUUUUUAGAACUUAAAAAAAUGUAGUUUCAUAGGAGUAUAAAAGUGCAGACAAUGUGAUUCUAAGAGAAGAAACUGCAAGUUUCAGUUGCAGAUAAGAAACUGCAAGUUCAGUUUCAGAUAAGAAACUGCAACUUUCAGAGGCAGAGCAUUUAUAUUAACACGACCUUUUCAAACAGGGUUAACAUCAUGUUGGAAGUUUUAUUCAUGGUCGAAAAUGGAACUACCAGCCAGUUAACAUCAUGCUGAUCAACAUUCAUGCAUAGCACAUCUUCAUAUGAUGCACAGUCAAAAUGCCCACACAAUGUCGAGUGUGCGAAACACAGAGAAAACGAGGGACGAAGUUUUGGCAAGUGUUGGACGUGGUUUUAGGCUGCCCCGUCUAGGCCUACUCCCUCCUCCCCGCGGCCGGCUCUGCUGCCGCGCGGGCCUCACCGCCCCACCGUACUCCCAUCGCUGGCCUAGCCAUCCCUCUACUCACCCACACCUGCUGUUAUUCUCCAGCGACGGCAGACGAACCAGUAAACCCUCGUACAGUCGUACUCCCCUCCGCGUGGGAAACAACUGCUGAGUCUUUCCUGCCUUCGUGUCGUUCCCUUCCUAGGACUCGUCGUCAUCCACCGCCCUGGUGCUCUCGGUGAGGCCUGGUCAACGUGGUCAACGACCGACAUGCAUCUGAAGUGGACUGUACGUGGAGAGGUCGACAGCUGGCUCCACGGCCGCACGCAAGGAAAUGCCUCCUUAUUACGCGCAAAAUAAUGAUUCCUCCACUUGACAUCAGGGACCCAGCGAAAGGGCCUCUGUAUUUCGCAAAAAAAAUGUUACCGCCGCUGACAGCUCGGACCCACCAGCUAUAUCUUCGCACGCAAGGAAGUGCCUCCUUAUUACGCACAAAAAAAUGAAUACUCCCCCUGCUAGCUGGGACCCACCAUGGUGGGAGGCUGACUUGUGGGCCUACUAAGUUGACUGGGACGGGGGCCUUUGUCAACUUUAGUCAAUAUGAACGAUUCUAGCUCCAGUGACCGUACGAUGUCCAUCCAACGGCCGUAGUGCUUCUUCAACCUCUGGUCUUCUUGCUCCAGCCGCCAAAGCAGCGCCGGUCAUGCCGCAUGCUCCUGCCUCCCGUGGCCGGCUAUGCUGCUGCGGAGGCCUCACCGCCCCCUACUAUUCCCACCGCUGGCCAGGCCCUGCGGCGACGGCAGCCUCACACCGCAGCCGAACCAGUGAACCCUCGUACUCCUCUCCGCGCGGGCUUCCACUGCCGCGUCUUCCCCGGCUCCGCGUCGUCCCCUUCCUAGGCCUCGCCGUCGUCCACCGCCGUGGAGCCCUCCGCGCGGCGUGGUCAACGUGGUCAAGGAACGACUUCCAUCGGAAGAGUACUAUACAUGGAGAGGCUGACAGCUGGGUCCACGGCCACAAUCCAUUUUUUUUGUGAUUUGCCAAGUAAGUCGCUUUGUCAGGCCGGCCGAGAAAAUGGCCCAUCAGUAAUAAGAAAUGGGCUGUACAUUUUUAAAACACAUCAAACCGGCAAUUAGUUUCAAAUAUCUUUUUUUCAUUUCGAGAUUUUAAAUUACAUUAAUUUUUAUGCGUGGAGAAUUUGUUGGAUUUUAUAUUGAUAUACAUUUAUUUUUAAAAUCAGUUCGAAUGUGAGUCGAAAUUUCGGGAUUAAAAACAGUUCGGACCGCACCGAAAUAUUCAAAAUUUCGUAUAAUUUUUUAACCGUGGCCACAAUAUGGGCUGUAAUGCUAACAAAAAGAAUAUGGGCUCAAAAAAACAUAAUAAUUAGCAAAUGGGCUGUAAAUUAUUAGAAAUAAUGGCAGAUGGGAUGUAUGAUGUUUUUCACAGAUUUGAGGCAACCUUUAAAAAAAGGUUGACGCACAAGCAGUGACUACGGCCGUCGUGCUUCUUCAAUCUCUGCUCUUCCUGCUACAGCCGCUCAAACAAGCGCCGUCGGGACUGCCUGCUCCCUCCUCCCCGCGGCCGGCUCUGCUGCCGCGCAGGCCUCACCGCCCCACCGUACUCCCAUCGCUGGCCUAGCCAUCCCUCUACUCACCCACACCUGCUGUUAUUCUCCGGCGACGGCAGACGAACCAGUAAACCCUCGUACAGUUGUACUCCCCUCCGCGUGGGAAAUAACUGCCGAGUCUUCCCUGCCUCCGUGUCGUUCCCUUCCUAGGCCUCGCCGUCGUCCACCGCCCUGGUGCUCUCGGCGCGGCCUGGUCAACGUGGUCAACGACCGACAUGCAUCUAAAGUGGACUGUACGUGGAGAGGUCGACAGCUGGCUCCACGGCCGCACGCAAGGAAAUGCCUCCUUAUUACGCGUAAAAUAAUGAUUCCUCCACUUGACAUCAGGGACCCACCGAAAGGGCCUCUGUAUUUCGCAAAAAAAAUGUUACCGCCGCUGACAGCUCGGACCCACCAGCUAUAUCUUCGCACGCAAGGAAGUGCCUCCUUAUUACGCACAAAAAAAUGAAUACUCCCCCUGCUAGCUGGGACCCACCAUGGUGGGAGGCUGACUUGUGGGCCUACUAAGUUGACUGGGACGGGGGCCUUUGUCAACUUUAGUCAAUAUGAACGAUUCUAGCUCAAGUGACCGUACGAUGUCCAUCCAACGGCCGUAGUGUUUCUUCAACCUCUGGUCUUCUUGCUCCAGCCGCCAAAGCAGCGCCGGUCAUGCCGCAUGCUCCUGCCUCCCGUGGCCGGCUGUGCUGCCGCGGAGGCCUCACCGCCCCCUACUAUUCCCACCGCUGGCCAGGCCCUGCGGCGACGGCAGCCUCACACCGCAGCCGAACCAGUGAACCCUCGUACUCCUCUCCGCGCGGGCUUCCACUGCCGCGUCUUCCCCGGCUCCGCGUCGUCCCCUUCCUAGGCCUCGCCGUCGUCCACCGCCGUGGAGCCCUUCACGCGGCGUGGUCAACGUGGUCAAGGAACGACUUCCAUCGGAAGAGUACUGUACAUGGAGAGGCUGACAGCUGGGUCCACGGCCACAAUCCAUUUUUUUGUGAUUUGCCAAGUAAGUCGCUUUGUUAGGCCGGCCGAGAAAAUGGCCCAUCAGUAAUAAGAAAUGGGUUGUACAUUUUUAAAACACAUCAAACCGGCAAUUAGUUUCAAAUAUCUUUUUUUCAUUUCGAGAUUUUAAAUUACAUUAAUUUUUAUGCGUGGAGAAUUUGUUGGAUUUUAUAUUGAUAUACAUUUAUUUUUAAAAUCAGUUCGAAUGUGAGUCGAAAUUUCGGGAUUAAAAACAGUUCGGACCGCACCGAAAUAUUCAAAAUUUCGUAUAAUUUUUUAACUGUGGCCACAAUAUGGGCUGUAAUGCUAACAAAAAGAAUAUGGGCUCAAAAAAAACAUAAUAAUUAGCAAAUGGGUUGUAAAUUAUUAGAAAUAAUGGCAGAUGGGAUGUAUGAUGUUUUUCACAGAUUUGAGGCAACCUUUAAAAAAAGGUUGACGCACAAGCAGUGACUACGGCCGUCGUGCUUCUUCAAUCUCUGCUCUUCCUGCUACAGCCGCUCAAACAAGCGCCGUCGGGACUGCCUGCUCCCUCCUCCCCGCGGCCGGCUCUGCUGCCGCGCAGGCCUCACCGCCCCACCGUACUCCCAUCGCUGGCGUAGCCAUCCCUCUACUCACCCACACCUUCUGUUAUUCUCCGGCGACGGCAGACGAACCAGUAAACCCUCGUACAGUCGUACUCCCCUCCGCGUGGGAAAUAACUGCCGAGUCUUCCCUGCCUCCGUGUCGUUCCCUUCCUAGGCCUCGCCGUCGUCCACCGCCCUGGUGCUCUCGGCGCGGCCUGGUCAACGUGGUCAACGACCGACAUGCAUCUAAAGUGGACUGUACGUGUAGAGGUCGACAGCUGGCUCCACGGCCGCACGCAAGGAAAUGCCUCCUUAUUACGCGUAAAAUAAUGAUUCCUCCACUUGACAUCAGGGACCCACCGAAAGGGCCUCUGUAUUUCGCAAAAAAAAUGUUACCGCCGCUGACAGCUCGGACCCACCAGCUAUAUCUUCGCACGCAAGGAAGUGCCUCCUUAUUACGCACAAAAAAAUGAAUACUCCCCCUGCUAGCUGGGACCCACCAUGGUGGGAGGCUGACUUGUGGGCCUACUAAGUUGACUGGGACGGGGGCCUUUGUCAACUUUAGUCAAUAUGAACGAUUCUAGCUCCAGUGACCGUACGAUGUCCAUCCAACGGCCGUAGUGUUUCUUCAACCUCUGGUUUCUUGCUCCAGCCGCCCAAAGCAGCGCCGGUCGUGCCGCAUGCUCCUGCCUCCCGUGGCUGGCUGUGCUGCCGCGGAGGCCUCACCGCCCCCUACUAUUCCCACCGCUGGCCAGGCCCUGCGGCGACGGCAGCCUCACACCGCAGCCGAACCAGUGAACCCUCGUACUCCUCUCCGCGCGGGCUUCCACUGCCGCGUCUUUCCCGGCUCCGCGUCGUCCCCUUCCUAGGCCUCGCCGUCGUCCACCGCCGUGGAGCCCUCCACGCGGCGUGGUCAACGUGGUCAAGGAACGACUUCCAUCGGAAGAGUACUGUACAUGGAGAGGCUGACAGCUGGGUCCACGGCCACAAUCCAUUUUUUUUGUGAUUUGCCAAGUAAGUCGCUUUGUCAGGCCGGCCGAGAAAAUGGCCCGUCAGUAAUAAGAAAUGGGCUGUACAUUUUUAAAACACAUCAAACCGGCAAUUAGUUUCAAAUAUCUUUUUUUCAUUUCGAGAUUUUAAAUUACAUUAAUUUUUAUGCGUGGAGAAUUUGUUGGAUUUUAUAUUGAUAUACAUUUAUUUUUAAAAUCAGUUCGAAUCUGAGCCGAAAUUUCGGGAUUAAAAACAGUUCGGACCGCACCGAAAUAUUCAAAAUUUCAUAUAAUUUUUUAACCGUGGCCACAAUAUGGGCUGUAAUGCUAACAAAAAGAAUAUGGGCUCAAAAAAAACAUAAUAAUUAGCAAAUGGGCUGUAAAUUAUUAGAAAUAAUGGCAGAUGGGAUGUAUGAUGUUUUUCACAGAUUUGAGGCAUUCCUUAAAAAAAGGUUGACGCACAAGCAGUGACUACGGCCGUCGUGCUUCUUCAAUCUCUGCUCUUCCUGCUACAGCCGCUCAAACAAGCGCCGUCGGGACUGCCUGCUCCCUCCUCCCCGCGGCCGGCUCUGCUGCCGCGCAGGCCUCACCGCCCCACCGUACUCCCAUCGCUGGCCUAGCCAUCCCUCUACUCACCCACACCUGCUGUUAUUCUCCGGCGACGGCAGACGAACCAGUAAACCCUCGUACAGUCGUACUCCCCUUCGCGUGGGAAAUAACUGCCGAGUCUUCCCUGCCUCCGUGUCGUUCCCUUCCUAGGACUCGCCCUCGUCCACCGCCCUGGUGCUCUCGGCGCGGCCUGGUCAACGUGGUCAACGACCGACAUGCAUCUAAAGUGGACUGUACGUGGAGAGGCCGACAGUUGCGUCCACGACCGCACGCAAGGAAAUGCCUCCUUAUUACGCGCAAAAUAAUGAUUCCUCCACCUGACAUCAGGGACCCACCGAAAGGGCCUCUGUAUGUCACGAAAAAAACGUUACCGCCGCUGACAGCUCGGACCCACCAGCUAUAUCUUCGCAUGCAAGGAAGUGCCUCCUUAUUACGCACAAAAAAAUGAAUACUCCCCCUGCUAGCUGGGACCCACCAUGGUGGGAGGCUGACUUGUGGGCCUACUAAGUUGACUGGGACGGGGGCCUUUGUCAACUUUAGUCAAGAUGAACGAUUCUAGCUCCAGUGACCGUACGAUGUCCAUCCAACGGCCGUAGUGCUUCUUCAACCUCUGGUUUUCUUGCUCCAGCCGCCCAAAGCAGCGCCGGUCGUGCCGUAUGCUCCUGCCUCCCGUGGCUGGCUGUGCUGCCGCGGAGGCCUCACCGCCCCCUACUAUUCCCACUGCUGGCCAGGCCCUGCGGCGACGGCAGCCUCACACCGCAGCCGAACCAGUGAACUCUCGUACCCCUCUCCGCGUGGGCUUCCACUGCCGCGUCUUCCCCGGCUCCGCGUUAUCCCCUUCCUAGGCCUCGCCGUCAUCCACCGCCGUGGUGCUCUGCGCGCGACGUGGUCAACGUGGUCAAGGAACGACUUCCAUCGGAAGAGUACUGUACGUGGAGAGGCUGACAGCUGGGUCCACGGCCAUAGCCCAGUUUUUUUGUGAUUUGCCAAGUAAGUCGCUUUAUCAGGCCUGUUGGGCUGCAAAUCUUUCGAGAGGAGGAGAGCUUUCAUUCGGCUGGCCGAGAAAAUGGCCCAUCAGUAAUGAGAAAUGGGCUGUACAUUUUUAAAACACAUCAAACCGGCAAUUAGUUUCAAAUAUCUUUUUUUCAUUUCAUGAUUUUAAAUUACAUUAAUUUUUAUUCGUGGAGAAUUUGUUGGAUUUUAUAUUGAUAUACAUUUAUUUUUAAAAUCAGUUUGAAUCUGAGUCGAAAUUUCGGGAUUAAAAACAGUUCGGACCGCACCGAAAUAUGCAAAAUUUCGUAUAAUUUUUUAACCGUGGCCACAAUAUGGGCUGUAAUGCUAACAAUAUGAGCUCCAAAAAAACCCUUAAUAAUUAGCAAAUGGGCUGUAAAUUAUUAGAAAUAAUGGCAGAUGGGCUGUAUGCUGUUUUCCCAGAUUUGAGGCUUUCCUAAAAAAAGGUUGACGCACAAGCAGUGACUGUUGGAUGGUCAUCCAACGGCCGUCGUGCUUCUUCAAUCUCUGAUGUUCCUGCUCCAGCCGCUCAAACAAGCGCCGGCGGGACUGCCUGCUCCCUCCUCCCCACGGCCGGCUCUGCUGCCGCGCAGGCCUCACUGCCCCACCGUACUUCCAUCGCUGGCCUAGCCAUCCCUCUACUCACCCACACCUGCUGUUAUUCUCCGGCGGCGGCAGACGAACCAGUAAACCCUCGUACAGUCGUACUCCCCUCCGCGUGGGAAACAACUGCCGAGUCUUCCCUGCCUCCGUGUCGUUCCCUUCCUAGGCCUCGCCGUCGUCCACCGCCCUGGUGCUCUCAGCGCGGCCUGGUCAACGUGGUCAACGACCGACAUGCAUCUGAAGUGGACUGUACGUGGAGAGGCCGACAGCUGGGUCCACGGCCGCACGCAAGGAAAUGCCUCCUUAUUACGCGCAAAAUAAUGAUUCCUCCACCUGACAUCGGGGACCCACCGAAAGGGCAUCUGUAUUUCGCAAAAAAAACGUUACCGCCGCUGACAGCUCGGACCCACCAGCUAUAUCUUCGCACGCAAGGAAGUGCCUUCUUAUUACGCACAAAAAAAUGAAUACUCCCCCUGCUAGCUGGGACCCACCAUGGUGGGAGGCUGACUUGUGGGCCUACUAAGUUGACUGGGACGGGGGCCUUUGUCAACUUUAGUCAAUAUGAACGAUUCUAGCUCCAGUGACCGUACGAUGUCCAUCCAACGGCCGUAGUGCUUCUUCAACCUCUCGUCUUCUUGCUCCAGCCGCCCAAAGCAGCGCCGGUCGUGCCGCAUGCUCCUGCCUCCCGUGGCCGGCUGUGCUGCCGCGGAGGCCUCACCGCCCCGUACUAUUCCCACCGCUGGCCAGGCCCUGCGGCGACGGCAGCCUCACACCGCAGCCGAACCAGUGAACCCUCGUACUCCUCUCCGCGCGGGCUUCCACUGCCGCGUCUUCCCCGGCUCCCCGUCGUCCCCUUCCUAGGCCUCGCCAUCAUCCACCGCCCUGGUGCUCUCGGCGCGGCGUGGUCAACGUGGUCAAGGAAUGACUUCCAUAGAACGUGGACUGUACAUGGAGUGGCUGACAGCUGGGUCCACGGCCGCAGCAAGGAAGUGCCUCUUUAUUACACGAAAAAUAAUGAUUCCUCCACCUGACAGCUGGGACCCACCGGACGAGCCACUGUAUUUCACGAAAAAAACGUUUCCCGCUGACUGCUGGGACCCACCAGCUACAUCUUCGCACGCAAGGAAGUGCGUCCAGGCAAAAAAAAAACGAUUCGCCCCCCUGACUGCCGGGACCCACCAGCUACAUCUUCGCAGGCAAGGAAGUGCCUGACAGUCGGGACCCACCUGGUCGAAGCGUACGUAGCGUUGUCAUUCUGGUCGCGAACGUGUACGUACAUAUAUACUGGUGGAUGUAGAGGCGCGCACGUGUCGUAGUAGAGGCGCGUACGUGUCGUAGUAGAGGCGCGCACGUAGCAUGUACACGUACGUACAGCGGCCAGGGUGCAAGAAAGAAAAUACGGCCACGUAUGUGUACAUACGGGCGGGGUCUCAAACGCCUACUCGCGCAUACGUACGGCCAGGGCUCGUGUACAUGGCUGGGUCGGAACGGAGAAACAGCGUCAUCGUCGUGUUCAUGGGGAGGCAACGGAAUGCGUCGUGUUCAUGGGGAGGCAACGGAAUGCGUCGUGUUCAUCGGGAGGCAACGGAACGCGUGGGAGCCAACCGGCUGGGUCGGAAUGGAAUGCGUGGUCGUGUUCAUCGGGAGGGCUUGGACGGAACAGGCGAUGGAAACGAGGCCUGGCGUACCGCACAACGGAGGAAACGGACCUCCUACGUUCCGAACGGGGUCCUGUUGAUCGGGAGGGGUGUGGCGUACCGCAAAACGAAGGAAACGGACCUCCUACGGUCGAAACGGGGGUCCUGUUGAUCGGGAGGGGUGUGGCGUACCGCAAAACGGACGAAACGGACCUCCUACGGUCGAAACGGGGGUCCUGUUGAUCGGGAGGGGUGUGGCGUACCAUAAAACGGACGAAACGGACCUCCUACGGUCGAAACGGGGUCCUGUUCAUCGGGAGGGCUGUGGCGUACCGCAAANNNNNNNNNNNNNNNNNNNNNNNNNNNNNNNNNNNNNNNNNNNNNNNNNNNNNNNNNNNNNNNNNNNNNNNNNNNNNNNNNNNNNNNNNNNNNNNNNNNNNNNNNNNNNNNNNNNNNNNNNNNNNNNNNNNNNNNNNNNNNNNNNNNNNNNNNNNNNNNNNNNNNNNNNNNNNNNNNNNNNNNNNNNNNNNNNNNNNNNNNNNNNNNNNNNNNNNNNNNNNNNNNNNNNNNNNNNNNNNNNNNNNNNNNNNNNNNNNNNNNNNNNNNNNNNNNNNNNNNNNNNNNNNNNNNNNNNNNNNNNNNNNNNNNNNNNNNNNNNNNNNNNNNNNNNNNNNNNNNNNNNNNNNNNNNNNNNNNNNNNNNNNNNNNNNNNNNNNNNNNNNNNNNNNNNNNNNNNNNNNNNNNNNNNNNNNNNNNNNNNNNNNNNNNNNNNNNNNNNNNNNNNNNNNNNNNNNNNNNNNNNNNNNNNNNNNNNNNNNNNNNNNNNNNNNNNNNNNNNNNNNNNNNNNNNNNNNNNNNNNNNNNNNNNNNNNNNNNNNNNNNNNNNNNNNNNNNNNNNNNNNNNNNNNNNNNNNNNNNNNNNNNNNNNNNNNNNNNNNNNNNNNNNNNNNNNNNNNNNNNNNNNNNNNNNNNNNNNNNNNNAGAGGCAGCAUCGAUCGGCUUCAGUUAGCAGCAGUAGCGAAGGAAUCGCUCGAUCGGGUUCAGUUAAAAGCCAUCGAUCGAUCGCUCGGGUUCAGUAACGCGUAGCCUGCAGUGCAAUCGCUCGGGUUCAGUUAGAGCCCAACGCCUCGCUCGGGUUUAGUUAGAGCCAACGCCUCGCACACACGCGCGUACGUGUACGAGAGAAACGCGCAUUGCUCGGCCCCCGACCUCCCACCGUAACCGGGAACUCCCUGAAAUUUUCCUCGCCCUCGCUUCUACCAUGGUUUUUUCCGUCAUGGACGGCCCAAAGAAUGUCAUGCAGCUGCUUCUCCGGCCCACCCAGGAGGAAAAUCCCAUUUUCUGUCAUGAUUUUUUGUCAUAGAAGUAGGAGCCCACCACAUCUAUGAUGAUACCGGGUUUUGUAACAAUUAUCUUCAUAAAAGUGUCAUAUGUAUGACAGAAAAAAAAUUCGUUCGGCCCAAAAUGUCACGGAUGUGUCUUUUUUUUGUAGUCUGAUGUGUGAAAUGGAGCUUGAUCCUUUUAUGUUACAAUUUUUUUUAUCUUUGGUAUACACACCUCAGCUUUAAUAAUAGGUUCUGUGACAAAUUAGGAGUAGGAGUAUUUGUCUGAUAUAUAUUUAUGGUGCAGCUUUGUCCAAACUGAUAAUUAGGUGGUAGCUUUGUUAAUAAUAAUUAGAAGCUUAGAACUGUCAGUAAAUCCAUGGUAUUUACAAACAGGAGUGACAGUACUAGAACUAAAUUUAUAUUCAAGCGGGGAUCAUGUUAGUAUUUGGUGCAUGACAAGGAGCGGAACUUUUGCAAGCAGAUCUGCUUGGUUUGUGCCGAUUUGCUGAACUCUUUGUUCGGAAAUUAUGGUAUUUUGUAUCUGGAUUUGAUCCUUUUCUUUUAACUGCUAAUGUCAAUGACAAAAUUCUACACUCGUUGUUUCUACACUCGUGUAUGUCAAUGACAUUUGUUAGCCGAACUGGUGAGAAUAUCCAAACUGGUGAGAAUAGUAUUUGGCAGUGCCUUAGCGGAACAGUUGGGCAUAAGUUCGGAUAGGACUCCAAAUCUUUGUAGCAAAAUGAGCCAUGUCCAAAACUGCAGGCUGAUGUGUGUAUUUUGGGUCCAUAAAUAAUGCAGGCUGGUGUGUGUAUUUCAAGUCCAUGUAUAUUUCUAGGUCGUGUGUGUAUUCCAAGAACAUGUACACUGCAGAUGGAGUGUACUUUAGGUCUGUAUAUACUGCAAGUCCAUAUGUGUGCAGAGGGGGUAUGUAUUUCAUUGGUUGAAUUAGCGUGUCCGAUUUCUCUUGUGUGUGUAUUUCAAUUUGCCUUCCUGCCACAAAAUUUCUCUGUAGCAGUUGUUGUAUUGGAAACAUCUCCUUCCAAAAAGUAAAUGUUUUCACACCAAAUAUUUAAUGUUUCUUCAGAUAACCGAUGCAAUGAGUAUGACUGUAGUCUUUCAUGGAAUUUAUACUGAAAGACACUUUGUGAACUCUAAACUCAUAAUCUUUUCUAAAGAUGAAUCGAUGGUAUUGCAAUAUAUCUUUGCCUUUUUCCAACGGAUGCAUGCCCAUCCCCUGUUUAUCCAUUGUGUGUUUCUUUCAUUAAUCAAGAAACAUCUUAAUUUCAUGGCGGGUAUGUUGAAGAAUAUAUGAAUAUAUAAAAGCUUCCUUCUUUUGGAUAAUAUGUUUCCCUUUUGCUGGCCUAUGGUACUUGCCUGCACAUCUAUGCAUGAUAUUCACUACUGCUAUUUUGGUACUGCAGUUCAUAACUAUAUUGACUAUAAUGCAUGUUUCUAGGCGAUGGAAAACCUAGCCUCCGCUUCGCCCCGUCUCGGCUCUCUAUCUCUCUCUCCAAGCCGCUUGCACACGAAUUCGCUUUGUUACACUGUUUAUUACUUUUUCUAUAUUAUAUCAUCACUCAUGCCUUACUACAUGUUCUUUGAGUGAUGAGUUAAAUCUGUCUUAAUCUUCCAUGUAUUCUUAUUUCAGCGCUAGAGAUACUGUAUGGAGCUGAUAUUCCUCAGAAACUUUUUUGUUUCGUCAUAUGAAGUUCCUGCAAUCUAGGUUCUAAUUCCAUCCUCCUCCAGCCUGGAUAUGGUAAAUGUUAACUAAUUUUUUCGUAUGAGAUUGUGACAUGCGUAAAGGUAUUAAGAUGACAUAAUUAAUGCACUAUUGUUGCUUCCUAAUCAGUAUUAAGCAGGCAGUUUCAUCUUUUUGCUUUUGUCUAAAUAUUGUGAUGCCUAACACAUCCAUGCUUUAGUACCAUUUUGAGUUUGAUCAUUGAAUCUGAAUCUUUUUAGGAAUAGUUUGUGCAAUAGUUUGUGAUGGAUUGGACCAUUGGAUUAGUAUCCUUCAGCAUUCAUUUUGUGUUAGAGCAUCAGAUAGACAGAUUAUGUCAAGCUCACUUCACACUUAUUAUCCAGAUUGGAAGUGUCGUAAAAUCUGCCUGGAAAAUACAUGGCCUAUAAAUGAUAUAGUUGUUUGGGUCAGGAAAUUUGGGUGAUUUUGUUUGUGGUGCUCAAAAUUUCACUGCAACUUUUUUGUUCCAUUCUUAGCUAAAACCUGCCUCGAAUAGAUAGAUGGUGCAUAGAUGGAUGAUGAAAUUGUUUCAGUCUGGAUAUUCCGCUUUGAAAAAAUUGUCACGUACCAGGAAAGUUCUCUGUAUAUGUUGUAUAUAGCUUGUCNNNNNNNNNNNNNNNNNNNNNNNNNNNNNNNNNNNNNNNNNNNNNNNNNNNNNNNNNNNNNNNNNNNNNNNNNNNNNNNNNNNNNNNNNNNNNNNNNNNNNNNNNNNNNNNNNNNNNNNNNNNNNNNNNNNNNNNNNNNNNNNNNNNNNNNNNNNNNNNNNNNNNNNNNNNNNNNNNNNNNNNNNNNNNNNNNNNNNNNNNNNNNNNNNNNNNNNNNNNNNNNNNNNNNNNNNNNNNNNNNNNNNNNNNNNNNNNNNNNNNNNNNNNNNNNNNNNNNGGGCAUAGAUAAUGAGUACCAACUAUUGUAGUACACUGGUGAUGUACCACGUAGACUCCAGUACAAAACAAAGAGUUGACUGUACUCUAUGCUCUCUGAUCCGUUGGGCCCAAAAAUGAACAAGUGGAUCUUAUUGUUAGAUUUUAAUUUGAUUUUGGACAUUGUCGUACCUAGCUAUAUAUAGUACGGUUUACUUUCUUCAUUCUCCUGUUGCUAAAUCUUUGUGUUUCUUUUUCCUUUUGCUCAGGGCCCUAUGCUACUAUCGCUUGAGUGAGAGUAGUGCCAGAGCUUCACACGGUAAUGUCACCUCCUCUGAAAAUUAGUUGUCUACUAUUGGUGUGAAAAUCGUGCUACAAAUUAGCUAUCUUAACUCCAACCAUUUAUGUGGCUGUCAAAGUCAAUAUUUAGAGUGUUUGAGCUUUGAUUCAAUGGCUAAUUCCGACGAUGAUGUUAAAAGAAAGCACUGUGUUACAUCCACCUGAGUUCUGAAUGCUAUUUCUACAAUCAAUUUUCUUGAACAUAAAGUAUUCUUAUCAUCAGUGAGCUUGCCGAUCGUACAUUCAAGCUAUUAUUAUGAUGGUUCUCCUAUAGGAGAGGUUAUUUGUGUACCAGAUAUAAUUGAUGCUCUAGAAAACCAAAUGGCCUUUCACUCUGAAAAGACGACAAUUUCCUGUCCGACUAUGUUAUUUUAUGACAAUAAAUAUGAACCAGGGUUAGACAUUGUCCUUUCUUGAAAAUUAUAUCUGAAAUAUCAUGUUCUAUCCAUGGACAGUUGUAUGUUGUUGUGUCGCGGGUCAUAUCAAAAAAAUCCCUAAAAUUACUUAUGAAAGAUAAAGAUGGGAAGUGUAUGGAGACUCAGAACAUUUUUCCCCAAGGUUUAUGCCUCAACUAUCCCCUUUUAAGUUUCUCGACAUGGCCCUAUAAUAAUUAGUAGUAGCCUGCGUUGUAUUGUCUUUAACAGUAUAUCCUCGGAUACAUAAUUUUUUUUCUUUUCUCUUUGGCUACUAAAUUUUAUUGCCAUUCUUCUGCACGUAUAUGUGAUGUGGUAGAUUCUUUCUCUUCAUGUUUUAAGAAAUUACUUUAGGAUACUUCAUGUUCUAUUGUUAUUCUCUAUGAUCGUUAGAUUUCCAUUAUGCAUUGUUAUCCUCUGUCAUUAGAUAGUGUCUUGUAGCCUGUUUUCCUAAUGUUUAUUUGAAUAUGUUUUCUUUUAUCCACAGAUGAAGCCCAUCCAUUUGUCCGUUCUUCGGCAGGGUCACAAAGUCUUUGUCCCAAGAUUCUUCCCUUUGUAAAUAUGAAAGCAGCUUGCACGAUCUAUUCACAGACUUGCUCUGCUGCUUUGUAGCCCGACUGAUUCUGUACUCUUGAUCGUCCUCACGGCAUCUGUCAACUACAUUGUGAAUCAUCUCUUUAUCUUAAGGUUGUACUUGCUGUGCUAGAAUGAUCAGAUGAUAUAGUAAAUACAUCUUUCCUUUUUACAAGGUUCGGAUCAUAAGGAAUGUCAUGUCGUGUGAACCAAG